This 276-nucleotide ribosomal RNA is filed under the name Escherichia coli. Its description in RNAcentral is "partial 23S ribosomal RNA". It matches the Rfam family "Bacterial large subunit ribosomal RNA", at positions 1630 to 1888 of the family's 2925-position model. The record is from RNAcentral. Lineage: Bacteria; Pseudomonadati; Pseudomonadota; Gammaproteobacteria; Enterobacterales; Enterobacteriaceae.
GGUAACAUCAAAUCGUACCCCAAACCGACACAGGUGGUCAGGUAGAGAAUACCAAGGCGCUUGAGAGAACUCGGGUGAAGGAACUAGGCAAAAUGGUGCCGUAACUUCGGGAGAAGGCACGCUGAUACGUAGGUGAAGUCCCUUGCGGAUGGAGCUGAAAUCAGUCGAAGAUACCAGCUGGCUGCAACUGUUUAUUAAAAACACAGCACUGUGCAAACACGAAAGUGGACGUAUACGGUGUGACGCCUGCCCGGUGCCGGAAGGUUAAUUGAUGGG